This 443-nucleotide ribosomal RNA is filed under the name uncultured bacterium. RNAcentral describes it as "partial 16S ribosomal RNA". It matches the Rfam family "Bacterial small subunit ribosomal RNA", at positions 338 to 795 of the family's 1533-position model. The record is from RNAcentral.
CCUACGGGUGGCAGCAGUGGGGGAUAUUGGACAAUGGGGGGAACUCUGAUCCAGCGACGCCGCGUGAGUGAAGAAGUAUUUCGGUAUGUAAAGCUCUGUCAGCAGGGAAGAAAGAAAUGACGGUACCUGACUAAGAAGCCCCGGCCAACUACGUGCCAGCAGCCGAGGUAAGACGUAGGGGGCAAGCGUUAUCCGGAUUUACGGGGUGUAAAGGGAGCGUAGACGGCGAUGCAAGUCUGAAGUGAAAGGCGGGGGCCCAACCCCCGGACUGCUUUGGAAACUGUAUGGCUGGAGUGCAGGGGAGGUAAGUGGAAUUCCUAGUGUAGCGGUGAAAUGCGUAGAUAUUAGGAGGAACACCAGUGGCGAAGGCGGCUUACUGGACUGUAACUAACGUUGAGGCUCGAAAGCGUGGGGAGCAAACAGGAUUAGAUACCCCUGUAGUC